RNAcentral lists this ribosomal RNA (419 nucleotides) under uncultured beta proteobacterium. RNAcentral describes it as "bacterial SSU rRNA". It matches the Rfam family "Bacterial small subunit ribosomal RNA", at positions 985 to 1407 of the family's 1533-position model. The record is from RNAcentral. Lineage: Bacteria; Pseudomonadati; Pseudomonadota; Betaproteobacteria.
CAUGUCACUAACGAAGUAGAGAUACAUUAGGUGCUCGUAAGAGGAAGUGAACACAGGUGCUGCAUGGCUGUCGUCAGCUCGUGUCGUGAGAUGUUGGGUUAAGUCCCGCAACGAGCGCAACCCUUGUCUUUAGUUGCUACGCAAGAGCACUCUAAAGAGACUGCCGGUGACAAACCGGAGGAAGGUGGGGAUGACGUCAAGUCCUCAUGGCCCUUAUGGGUAGGGCUUCACACGUCAUACAAUGGUGCAUACAGAGGGUUGCCAACCCGCGAGGGGGAGCUAAUCUCAGAAAAUGCAUCGUAGUCCGGAUCGUAGUCUGCAACUCGACUACGUGAAGCUGGAAUCGCUAGUAAUCGCGGAUCAGAAUGUCGCGGUGAAUACGUUCCCGGGUCUUGUACACACCGCCCGUCAUACCAUGG